Long non-coding RNA from Patiria miniata (bat star), 3973 nucleotides. RefSeq lists it as uncharacterized. The transcript has 7 exons. The record is from RefSeq and is a predicted model, not a curated record. Lineage: Eukaryota; Metazoa; Echinodermata; Asteroidea; Valvatida; Asterinidae.
ACUAACACAAAUGGUGUCAGAAGUGGGAUAUUGUAUGGGCAUCAAAGAAAAAUUGGACACUAAUAUAUUUGAUUAAUCUUAAAACAUUUGCACCUCCCAUUGUGAGCGUGAGUCUGUGUGAAUUAAAAUACCUCCGAUUGUAUACCUCUGCUGGCUGGAAGCGCUAUUGGUUAGCAUUUGACCCUCAUUUCGAUGUGUGUGUCGUAAAUAAAAUUAUUUGCAUAGAAUAAUUGUUUACUGUCUGUUAUACAUGUAGUUGUAAAUUAUUUCUUUGUUGAGUUUGCAAUUGCAUCUUAUUCAGUUGAUAAUCGUAAAGGUGAAUAAAACAAAACAGGCACAUCUGAGUAACACAUGGGCCAUCCCUGGUAGCGUCUUGAGGGACAACCUCAGGUGGCAGUGCGGGAAGGUCUACCCUUCCCACCUGGAUGACCUCAGAGGCAUUUUAAUGAGCCUUGGGGCGGACACCUUCAAGUAGCCACCGACAGCAGACCAACAGGCAAGCGAUGGUAGUCAUCGGGGUGCUUGCAUUAAGGGCUUCCAAAAGCAACCCCUCAGUCAACCGCAGCGGUGAUGAAAGCAACCUCAGCUGAUGAAGGCCCGGCCAUCUCUAGAAUUGGAGCCAGCUCCCGGGAUGGUGCGUUCAUAUAUCCUCCCUGUUCCUUGAGGAGGACGUCCCAGCAACCUGAGGGGAAGUCCUUGGCCAACUGCUUCUCUUAAUCUACUCAUGGAUGAUCCAGAGAUCCUUCAGAUGACAUCCGAAACUCCAGCCCCUCCAGCGGUACCAACUACCCGUCCCUUCCAGCGCCCUCCAGUGGCAAGCCUUUGGCCCUGUUGUAGGCCCAGGAGGCCCACGAGCCGUCAUCAGCUAGAGGUAGUGAGGAUAUUAUAGCUGAGAAUGAUGUUGACGCUACACUAAUGCGGCGUCACACAUCUUCAAUGCAGCCAGUACCAUGAAGAAGAUGUUUCUCGAGACCGCCUUGGAGGGAAGGGUGACGAAGGUAACUGAGACCGUCAACAAAUACAUACUACAGACAAUGACACAAGCUGAUCUCUGAAGCAAGUAUAGUGAGCCAAUGUGUGUACAUGUAUGUGAAAACGAUCUCGCCACCAAACAUGCCAAAUGAAUUACUGUGAACAAUUUUUGUAUUUGAUUUAAUGUUGCUAUUAUCGUAAACUAAUUGAACAGGGACCACUCAGGUCUCGAAUGGGCAAUGAGGCUGUGUAACGGAAAUUAGUUUACUGACACGACCAACAAUCGUGCCAUGUAUUUUGUUUACUGCUGCAGCACGUAAAUGAGUACCGUGUACUAGCUAGCGCAUGGAGCACUUACAUGUAGUUGAGCGCAUUGGCAUUUCACUUGUGCAUAGAGCGCGCUAUUGGGCACUUGCAUUUUUUGGCGCUGCUUAUCUCAAGUUUAGGUGUGCUGGUAAAUCUUUAUGUAUACUUUGCAUAUCACAUUUGGUGAUAUUUGUAGGGACGUUCAAGUUGGUUGCUAAUUAGUAACCUGAAGUUCACGGGCUCUAGCCAAAUUGUUGCCCUUAACACCAGAUUGUUUGUGACUUGUGUCCUUGCUAAUCCAAAUUUCCUAAUUCCAAGUUAGACAAUUAUGCAAAUUAGCAAGCUACUUGAAAAGCCUUGGGGUGUGGCAAUCGUCUUGACCGAUAAGAGGAUUUUGAUAUUGAUGAAUGAGUUAUUUGUGACCUGCAAACAAGUGAAUCUUAGGAAAAAAAUCUGUCCUUAGAGCGUGAUAGUUUUGUUGCUUGUAGGACACCUCCUGGAGGUCUGAUUGAAAUUUGUUUAUAGUAUUUGCACCUCUGGAGGGAGAGUGCAGAGGAUCACCUCAGCAUAAGAAGCCAAAGACACUCGAGUACAUGUAGUUCAUUAACUAUUUCUGGUUAUUGUUGAUAUUUGUAUUUGCUUAAUAAUAAAUAAAUUCUUGAGUUGUUGUUCAUCUUGUGUUCAAUUGUUUGUUCAUUUAGUCCGUCGGAUCUAACCAUAAAUUAGGAUGCACUUUAGGAAAACGAAUAUCCGCACAGGCUAUACUUAGUGGCGAUUAAUGGCGCCACCCUGCUUUAAAGGGUUAAAUUAUCAAAACUGUUUAUCAAAAAACACUGGCAAAUUUGCCUCAGAAUUGAGCCUGAAAAUACGCCAUUAUGUAUUUGAGAUAAGACAAAAAAAGCGGGCUUGUAAAAAUGACCGCGGGCUAGUUAAGAGUCUGUUUCAGUAGCCCAGCUGGUUACUGAACAAAAAAGUUAAGGUUGAACCCUGUAAUUGCCAUUGAAUUGUCUGUUGCUUUUUUCCAAGUGUCGUCAUCUUCAAUCAGGCUGACAGGAACCCAAUCUACCGAACUUCACCCCCAUCAACCUUGGUCACAUGCUUAAGAGGGCAGUAGAAUUACAAGAUUGUUGAAUGCCUCUUGUGAGAACAAUAAGAGGAACACAAGGAUACACAUUCAGCGAGGUUGUUGAGGCAACGACCAGCGUCUUUCACCAGUUGUCCUGGUCUUCUACGACAUGUCUAUUUUUCCAGGGGCCUAGGAUGGACAUUAGGGUCAUCCAUGCUCAUCGUAGAGUAGCUGUCUUCAACCUCUCUGCCAUCUGUCUGCGAGGGAUGCCAAAUCACAAGGCCACUGAGGAGGUUGCAAUGGGUAGCCAGAGGGUGGAGCUGAUGUCCAAGCCAACGAAGCUGACGUGUGAUGGGAGAGGUCCUGGAUGCUGACUGUGCCUAGCUAUAUAGACAGGACCGGAUGAGUAAGUUUUCCUCUCUCAAAAUUCAUCAAAAGCCUGUCACACUAGCACAAGAAGAGGAACACAUGUUUCAGUUGUCACAACUUUUCCUCUAUCGACAUACGUUGAAAGGCUGUUACCAGUACCACAAAAAGAAGAGCACAUGUCUUUCAGUGGUUGUCCCAACUUGUCCUCUAUCAAAAUUCGUUGAAAGCCUGUCAUCAUGUAGGAAGAGGAACACAUGUGUUUCAGGUUUUCCUGCUCUUACCAAGAAGACGUUGCUCUUGAUCCUGGAAUGCCCUGAAACUGCACCACUUUGUGAUGACAUCAAACAUCAGAGAAACUACAUCCAAGGUGCCUUGGGCCUAUUUAGAAUGUACUAGGCUGUUAAAUGAGAAAAAAAGGUUAAAUGGGCAAUUCCAUGCUGGUUGACACACAAGACCAAAAAAUAAACAAAUUUAUCGUUUGUUCAAGUUUGAUUCGCUGAAGAGACACAAUAUAACGUGGCAUUUUUAAAACUGAAAUAUAGUCUAGUCCUAUGUGCGCACUGUUUUGUGAGUUACGUACGGUACACCAUCACAUCAAAGUCUGCAAUGACGUCAUGAUGACUUAUGGAUGCACUGGUGAGGAAUUUUUAAUUAGUCUUUUGCUAUCUAUACAGUUAUAUUUCAAUUUGCUAUGUUACCGUUUUGAAGGCGUCUUUGUGAAAAUGGAUGUUAUUUUUCAGUUUUCAAUUUUAGUCAGAUUUUGCUUGUAAUAUGAGAUAUAUAUUGAAUGAUUUGAAAGCCAUCAAAAGUGAUUUUAUGUAAAUGGCUACAUUUCCUAACCAAUGAAAUAUUCAGUUAACUUUCCUUAGCUUGAGUUCUCAGAAGUGUUAAAAAACGAUUUGUCAGAAGUUUUUGUUUUUAUACUUAGGCCAGCCAUGAAAUAUUGUAAUAGUAUUGGGCAUGUGUAAUGUCAUGCAGUCACAUUAUUGCACAGUCUGUACUCCAUAAUUGAGGAAUGAAAUAAAAAAUAUAUUUGUUUUGCUUUUGGGCACAAGUAGUCUAUCAUUGUCCAUUCUGAUGGGGUGGGGUGGGGUGGGGGAAGUCUUCCCUGUGAGAACUGAAUUAUUGUUUGGCACCAAAUAGUUUAAUAUUCAUAAUUCCUUAUUACUAACGUUGGCUGAUUUUAUAUUUGUUGAUUUUAUAUUUGUUGUUGGUUCAUUGGAUAUCUUAGGAAGUGCUACAGAAACAGGAAUUAAAAUU